GACUACUGGGGUAUCUAAUCCUGUUUGCUCCCCACGCUUUCGUAUCUCAGCGUCAGUUACAGUCCAGAAAGUCGCCUUCGCCACUGGUGUUCUUCCUAAUCUCUACGCAUUUCACCGCUACACUAGGAAUUCCACUUUCCUCUCCUGCACUCUAGACACCCAGUAUCAAAUGCAGCUCCCAGGUUAAGCCUGGGGAUUUCACAUCUGACUUAAAUAUCCGCCUACAUACUCUUUACGCCCAGUAAAUCCGGACAACGCUUGCCACCUACGUAUUACCGUGGCUUCUUCCUUUGGUACCGUCAUUAUCGUCCCAAAAGACAGAGCUUUACAAUCCGAAGACCUUCAUCGCUCACGCGGCGUUGCUGCGUCAGGGUUUCCCCCAUUGCGCAAUAUUCCCCACUGCAGCCCCCCGUAGG
This 416-nucleotide ribosomal RNA is filed under the name uncultured Clostridium sp. RNAcentral describes it as "partial 16S ribosomal RNA". The record is from RNAcentral. Lineage: Bacteria; Bacillati; Bacillota; Clostridia; Eubacteriales; Clostridiaceae.